RNAcentral lists this long non-coding RNA (1298 nucleotides) under Coturnix japonica (Japanese quail). RNAcentral's name for it is "lncRNA (ENSCJPG00005009651.1)". Lineage: Eukaryota; Metazoa; Chordata; Aves; Galliformes; Phasianidae. The record is from RNAcentral.
UGUGCAGCAGGGUCAACAACAGUAUCUUCAGUCCCUGGAAAGCAUUUUCUUGUUGAAUUUUUGUAUUCCUGGCAAUCACCACUGCUAACCUUCUCCUAAACAUGGCUUACUGGCACAGGUUGCCCAGAGAAGCUAUGGAUAUUCCAUCCCUGGAGGGAAUCAAGGAGGGGGCCCUGAGCAGCCUGAUCUAGUGAGUGGCAACCCUGACCAUGGUAGGGAGGUGGAAAGGGAUGGACUUUAAGGUCCCUAAACCAUUGUGUGAGUCUGUGAUUUUAUGUGUGACCUCACAGGGACCUCACCUCAGCAAGCAGGCUGUCACUCACUCUCCGUUUCCUUUCUGUAAACUCUCUUCAGCAUUUCUUCUGCAGUAAACAGGAUGACUUCCCUAAUGGCACUGUGGCUCCUGUAGGAUCCACUCCACUAAAUAACCAGGCUGAAAUACUGCAACAUUGCCUUCAUUCUCCCUGGGUGCCCAGAAUGCUUCUCUGCUAGUAGUAACUGCAACAUAACCAAGCUGCUCAACUCAGGAAAUGUGCCACCUGGAAAACACAGUGACUGGCAUGCCUUAGUGCUUUCCAUCCAUUUCAGCGAGUUUCUCUUCAUGCCAUUUUAAUGAAAUGCUGCGGACAACAGGGAGAGAUGACUGCCUGGGCAAGCACAGGAAAGUGUGAUAAGCAGUCAGUUUGGAUCACGACUACUCUAAGGAUGUGGUGGAACUUCACCGCUGGCUGCAGCUACUCUGGCAGCGGGCGCUGGUCCAGGCCGGGCCUUUGGUGCGGCCGGGCACAGUGCCACGGGUGGGGCAGCCUGCCACUCCUUGAGCCCAGCAAACUGCUCCUUGAGCCCAGCAAACUGCUCCUUGAGCCCAGCCUGCCACUCCUUGAGGCCGGCAUGCCGCUCCUUGGGCCCAGCUUGCCACUUCCUGGGCCUGCUGCCCGCUGGGCUGUGCUGGGCCAUGCUGGCUGUGCGAGGCUGCUUACACCAUGUGAACAGUUACUCUUAAUGGGGCUGUGCUCCUUGCCUCCUCGGUUCAGGUCUGGUUGGUCCUUUACUUUGUUUCCCUGCAGCCUGUUUUCUAGUAAAAAUUACACAUGUGAUGAGAAAUAGACAUCUUCCCAAGUGCCCCACCAGAUCUCUGUCGUGCAGAGCUUCACAGAUGGUGCUCAGCCUGCUGCCAGGUUUUCUGUGAAUGGAAGUGGUAAGUAGGCUUUGAGUGUAAAAUGUCUGCAGAGUACUUCUAAUAUCCCGCAUUACUGAGCCAUGUUUUUCAGUGGCUGUUUCUGGACCCUGAACUGCUG